GUCGCGACCUAAUUUUUUCGGGGUGUGAACCACCUAGGGUUUGGCUAAUGGAUUGUUAAGCCUAGACUUAACUCGGGCUCUCCCAAGCCCAUACCAAUUCGCGACUUAGGUUUGAAUUGUUAACAUGCAAUUUUUUUUAAUUAGGAGUCGCCACUAAUCUAUUUUUGGUGGGUCGAUUAGAAACCCAAGUAAAGUAAUGGGAGAAUUAUUUUACUUCUACGAAUCAGAGAUUAUGGGUACGGGGACUUGGUUACACUAGAUUUCUCUAAUGCCCUUUCGGUACCAUUCUUUUAAUUUUGAAAAAUGUUUGGCAAGGAGUUUGGAUUGAUUUUAAACUAAUUCCCUAACAUGUGAGGUGUUCAUGCAGGUGCGCAAACCACCAAUUUAACACUCAAGUAAAGCAGAAAAUAAAUUGCAGGACUUACCUCAAAGCAACGAAAGCAUCUGCAAUGUUAAAUUAAAAUCC
Molecule: long non-coding RNA, 466 nt
Filed under: Eucalyptus grandis
Lineage: Eukaryota; Viridiplantae; Streptophyta; Magnoliopsida; Myrtales; Myrtaceae
Description: long non-coding RNA (EGRA_LNC006828)
Source: RNAcentral